Long non-coding RNA from Passer domesticus (house sparrow), 1672 nucleotides. RefSeq lists it as uncharacterized. The record is from RefSeq and is a predicted model, not a curated record. Lineage: Eukaryota; Metazoa; Chordata; Aves; Passeriformes; Passeridae. The transcript has 2 exons.
UCCGGGCUGCUCCCUUGUGUGGGUGUUUUGUGGGUAUUUUGUGGGUACAUGUAACUUGGGGGAACGCUGCUCUUCUUCACCCAACAGCAGGGUGAUUUUGACACUGAGGUAGGGAUGGCUUUGGCUCCUGAAUCUGCAGCAAGAAGGAGCCUUGGUCAAGGCAGGUCAGUCAGACAAAAAAAUGUAAGGCACUUCUGCAUUUUAGGUGGCACUGUGUUUGGAAUUGUGCUCUGCAGCAAAUCCCUCAGCAGCAGGAAAGGCCCCAGGAUCUUCCCUAGUUGCCGGUGGGGUUGGAUGUGGUUUAAGGCACCAUCAAGAUUUCCAGAUGGACCAAGGCUGGGUGUGUGCAGAGGCAGAGCUGUAGGAUGGCUCACAGUGAAAUCUGAGGUGGCACCUUCACAGAGCUUGGCAGGCGAGCAUUGCAAUCUGGGCUCACAAGGGUACACGGCAGGAAAAGGAAAUUGAUGUCCGUAAAGUUUAAAAACUCUUUAAUGGUGCAGAGAGACAAAACAGAGAGCUUAUCAUUUUCUGUGCAGUCACAAACCUACACUUGAUUUUUUUCCCAAAUUGUUUUGUUACAGCAAGAUGCUGACGUUUACUCACUGAUGUUGGAUCAUGUGAAUCAAGUGCAUUAGCUGAGUUCUCCUUAGAUUUCUGGCUUAAUUAAAACCAGCCUGCAAACACUGAUCCAGGUGUUAUCCAUCCAUGGAUGGCAAAUGGCUGGCACAGACACCUGGACCUCUGUCUGCAGACUGGGGGAGCAGCCCUGCAGCAGCAGUUGGCUGUCAGUACAAAUUUUUAUAUAUAUAUAUUCAUAUAUCUAUUUAUAUAUCUAUUUAUAUAUGUAUAUACUUAUAUACAUACACACACUUUGAAUAUUUGCGUUUUGAAUGACCCAUCUAUUCUGAUUUUUGGAGUUUAAGAAAAACACCUUUUAAAAAAAUCGCCAUCAUCUGUGAGUGAUUGUGUCCCAAGAGAAAAACCACAGGUUCAGCUUCAGGAGUUUUAGUUGUGAAGGAAUUAAGAAGUGCCUUUGCCUGCCAGGCUUGCCAGUAAAAAGGCCCCAGGUCUAAUCCCCUUUCUGCUACACACCAAUGAAACUUAGAAAACUCUUUGACUAUUGACUUUUUCACGUGGAAACCGAUCUGCUCAAAGUGAAAAGAAACCAUUUCUUGGAGGGGGGAAGAAAAAAACUCUGUGAAACUCUGUUUUGAAGAAGUCGUCGUCCUUGGCCUGUGGAGUAGCAGCAGAAGCAAAGGCUUUUUGAUCCUCAGAUUUGUAAACUUGUAGACAUAAUAAUGCCAUUUCUCUAGUGUUAGCAGGUGUCCUGUCUGGAAGUUGCUGCCUCAGCCUCCAGCAGAGCUGGGAAUUAGAAAAUUGUCUGUCUUUCCUGAACCGUGAAGUGCUGCUCUUAAAUAAAGGCCAGGUCAGAUGUUAAAGGGACAUUCUUGUCUCCUGAAGCCGAAAUAAUCUACAGUCACGUCGAGAAAUGAAGGCAUCCUCCUCCCAAAAUGGUCAAUCUCUUUAUCUCCCAUUAUAGUCUGCCGGGUCAAGAAAAAGCCCCUUCCGUGCCGACAUUUUGCAAUAUUUCUGCUAAGUCUGUAAUUAUUCCGGUUCUGCAUAGCUGAAUUUCAGGAAAAUAACUGGGGAAGUUUUAUUCUCUUCCUUUUUC